Molecule: ribosomal RNA, 406 nt
Filed under: uncultured bacterium
Lineage: Bacteria
Description: bacterial SSU rRNA
Rfam family: Bacterial small subunit ribosomal RNA
Source: RNAcentral
UGGGGAAUAUUGCGCAAUGGGCGAAAGCCUGACGCAGCGACGCCGCGUGCGGGAUGAAGGCCUUCGGGUUGUAAACCGCUUUCAGCAGGGACGAAGCGAAAGUGACGGUACCUGCAGAAGAAGCGCCGGCUAACUACGUGCCAGCAGCCGCGGUAACACGUAGGGCGCAAGCGUUGUCCGGAAUUAUUGGGCGUAAAGAGCUCGUAGGUGGUCCGCUACGUCUGCUGUGAAAAUCCAGGGCUUAACCCUGGACUUGCAGUGGAUACGGGCGAACUAGAGGUAGGUAGGGGAGAAUGGAAUUCCCGGUGUAGCGGUGAAAUGCGCAGAUAUCGGGAGGAACACCGGUGGCGAAGGCGGUUCUCUGGGCCUUACCUGACACUGAGGAGCGAAAGCGUGGGGAGCGAAC